CCGGUGCCUGCUCAAACCUCCCAUAGAAAGUGUUAAGUGAAUCAGGAAGCUGAUUGUCGCUGUCAGGUGUGGGGGUGGGUUUCUUUUUGUAGUUUGUCAUGUUUUGUAAUUUUUUCCAGAUAGAGCGAGUGUCACUAUUAGGGAUUUGUUCUUCUAAUUUAGUGGCAUAGUUGGAUUUGGCUCUUCUUAUUGCAGAUCUCAGUUUGUAUUUGGCUGCCAUAUAUUGUUCUUUAUUUCCUGUCAAAUGUGCUCUAUUUUUCUCCUUUCUUAUUAUCUUAAUGUCCUGGUUAAACCACGGUUUAUUAUUAUUGUAGUGUUUGACUUUUUUGAGUGGAAUGCACAGGUCAACGCAGUAAUUGACGUAUGACGUCACUGCUUCGGUGACGUCGUUCAGGUCACCUGCGGCAUGGAAAAUAUCCCAGUCCGUGCACGCGAAACAACCCCGAAGUUGUUCAAUGGCUUCGGGGGACCAGCACCCGAGAAAGGUUGUUGGUGUUUUGGAGGAUUUAACUUUUUGCCUGUAUUUUGGAAUUAGCAGCAGCAUUGCGUGGUCGGACCUGCCCAGCGGAGCCCUAGGGAAAGCACGGUAAGCCUCUCUGAUGGAGGUGUAGCAGUGGUCAAGCGUGUUGGUCCCUCUGCUGGGGCAAUUUACCUGCUGAUGGUAGCCGGGGAGCUCAGAUGAUAGGUUGGUCUGGUUAAAGUCCCCGAGGACGAUGACUGCUGUGUCCGGGUGUGAAUUUUCCAGGAGACGUAGUUGGCUAACUCGGCUAUGGUGGUGUUAGCGUUAGCCUCAGGUGGAAUGUAAACACAGAUCAUAAUAAUUGAUGCGAACUCCCGUGGGAGGAAUGAUGGUCUGCAUUUGACAGUGAGGUAUUCUAGGUGAGGGGAACAUACAUGUGUUAGUUCAGUAGAAUUUGUGCACCAGCGUUCAUUUAUCAUGAUGCAAACACCAACGCCUUUUGCCUUGCCUGAUAGUUUGGAAGAUCUAUCGGAACGAUUAAAUGUGAAGCCUUGAAAAAUUACCGCUUGGUCUGGUACUGAUUGAUCCAGCCAGGUCUCUGUCAGGCAGAUGGCAGAGCAGUCACUGUAGUCUUUGUCGGUUUGGAUCAUAAGUUGUAAUUCGUCCAUUUUGUGCCGGAGGGAUCUUACGUUUGACAGCAGAAGGGCUGGGAGCGGUGGCCGGUAAGGUCGUCUCCUGAACCUGGCAAAGGUGCCGGAGCGGCGGCCCUUUUGGGCCGGCUGCCAUGGUGUUGAGUGGCUUGCGCUGUCGAUGUUUAAUUCCAGUAAUUUCUUCUCCAGCAAGGAUGUAGAUGGGCCCAGAUCACUGUGAGAGGUGGAUCUGAGGUUUAGAAGCUCCGAUCGGGUGUACUGGAUUAUGCACGACACUUUACAAACAAAUAACGCAGACACUAAAAUGACAGACAGGAACACUGCUUGUACUGUGGCAAGCCUCACGGCCACCAUCUUCCUAUGCCUCAACUCCCCUCAAGAGAGAGAGAGAGGACAACUUGGUCUCUCAGAGCACAGCUGUAGCUGUGCUGCGGGCAAAGGCUUCUGUAGCCAUGUAACCGCUCUGCUCUUCCAGACAGCGCAUUAUGUGCAGCUGGGCCUUGACGUGGUUCCACCUUCCCUGGUCUGUACCAGUCAACCACCGAUGUGGCAUCGACCGAGAACACAGGGAAUCCAUCCAGAGGCUGUGAGUGACCUUGUGGUGAAAAAACCCAAGUCGGUUGGGAAGAGUCAAGUCCACACUCUAAAGAGCGUAUGCUGGGCCCCUACCAGAACAACACAUCUUGGCGUCUGGAGCAAAGCUGAGUGAGAUUCCCCCUCGCCCCCUUUGAUGUCCCACAUCCUAGAGGGAAUAUCCAGCUUGGAGUUAGUACCAUCUCAGCUGUGCUGACCUGGAAGUUGUCAGCAAUGACCUCUUCUUUAAGGCCAGUUGCUACUCUACAACAGUAGAUGAAAAACUCAUCAAUGACUGGAAUCUUCCUUGAAGGGCUUGGUGUUGGAAUUGCCUCUUGUCCAAUCCUAUGUGCUUUGCUCCAUUAAACAAUAUAUUGUGUUGAGGGGCAAACAGACUCCCAAAACACUUGAAACACUUCUUGAGAUGGAAACCGAGUGUAAUUUCAUGGUCUGAUCAGACACACGAAAUCUGUUGAGGACAGUUUGUGGCCCCAUGGAUAUUUCUUGCAGCUUUGCCUCCAGCUCAGCAAUAUACUCCAGGGCAUCAUCCAGUGCACCUACAAAAAAAGAAGACAAAUCAGUCUUCAUUACCAUUCAUUAGUAUUCACCCUGUAUUUUUAUUGUAUUGUUAUUCUGUAUACUUAACCGUUUAUUUAUAUUUAUUAUUAUUUAUUUAUUUGUACUGUUUUUUGUUUUUCUUUUUUUAUAUAUUAACAACAGGUUAAUUGUUGAGUGUUGUACAUUGAGGGCAAAAACCAAAGUCAAAUUCCUCGUUUCUUCGCAAACCUGGCCAAUAAAGCUUUAUCUGAAUCUGAUUUAAUAUGCAACCCCAGUUUAACAGUACGUCUGAUGUUGAUUGAAUGUUUUAACGUUAACCAUGCAAUGUUUGGCAAAAGUAUACAAUAGCCCAACAAGUGUUGAACACAAAUAACAGACAUAACAGCUAGUUAGCACACAUCUACUUACCGGCAGGGGGGCGUGUCGAGUAGUCAUGUUCCCUGGUACCUCUCCGGUCCAUUUGUGUUUUGUCCUCUCCUUCAGCUUUUCGAGCUGACACCCGUUUAUACACAGGUGUUUUCUUCGGGGCUGUGGUGUAGCUGUUCCAGUCAAAACGACUGGGAACAGCUCCAGUAUUCAGCGUAGCACUCCCGUCGUUAUAAUCAGCCGCUGAGAAUUGCCGACUACAGACCAGUGUACUCCCCUUCUGAAUUACGAAAUUAACUCUGUCUGAUCGCCCUGACCCACUGCUGUAUUGGGUAUUAGUUGGGAAGUCGUGGAAAGGUAAAUACGGUUGUUUUUGGUUUUGAAUUGGCACAUAGAGGUACACAACAGAAGCUUUUGUUUUUUGACUGCGCCAUUGUCAAAUAUCAUGGACUACUCGACCGGAAGUCCCUUUACCCGGUGAAUGCAAAAUCGAACACCGAACCAGGAAGUUGGGAGAUAGGCCUAUUGGAACGCAAACUCCUUAUACCAGCUCCAGAUGACCCUUAAUCUGAUCAUCUUCUGGAUAUUCUACAGGUCUUCUCGGGCCGUAGUGGUAGGCCUCCUGCCUGACCUUCAGGACAGGACCCAAUAGCUGAACAAGGAGGUUUUCAGAACAGUCCAGACCUUCACCGCAUGUGAACGUGUUGUAAGUCCGAUCCGGGGUCAUUUAGAUUUACAACAAUUCAGGACAUUUUCAAACCAGGUUUCUUUGGUUUCAGAGCAUGUUUUUAGCAGCUGUCAAUUCUGAGAAGCCUUUAGUUCUCUGCAUUCUUAGUUCUAAAAUGCCUGGAUAAAUCCUCCAGCAGACUCAUUUGCACGCAAAUACUUCCAUUACUUUAUACAAUGAAUUGAAUCUAGCAUGUAGAGCUGGAUUCCCCCGCUGACUUGGUUAUCUACAUGCCGUGUGCCAGAGCAGUUCUCUGGCCGUCGCAGCACACUGAACAAGUACAAUGUCUGAUCAGGUACCAGAUAUGGCUGGGGGACAAGACGGUUUCAAUUGAAAGCAAUUUAGGGCUUGAUUUGAAAAUGGGCUGGGUUAAAACAGUGUUAUUUUUGGGGCCUUGAGAAACAGCCUUCCUGAGCAGAGUACAGACCACCAGCUGGGAGGCUCUCUGGGCUGAUUGUUUCCUCUACGUCUCUCUCCUAUUAGCCCCAGUCAUCUGAAUUAUUGAUGUAUCGUUUUCAGGGCUGUUGGUUUUUUCUCUCCUCCCAAGUGACAGAUGGCUUGUGUUGUUAAGUAAUUUCUCUACUCUCUCUCCACCCUCAUCCCCCCUUUCUCCUCCCUCUCCCCCCUCUGUCCGUCUUUGACAUUGUGGUAACAAAUGUAUCGCAGGAUAAAAGGAAGUGUUAACUCUUCUUCCUGCGUUGUGUUUACAGGCCAUCUCCAUAGGCUUGACUGUGAACAACAAGUAUUGUCACGCAUCGCAGUGCCAUCCAUUUUGACCCCUCAUAUUGUGACGUUGACCGGGCUCUCCGUGGCUCGUCUGGUAUUUCCACCAGGAGCCUCUUUGGUUGACUACAGCCGUAAUGGUUUUGUCAUUGAGGGUAUCCUGAAUUUCACUCCUUUUGUUUGCCUCGAAGACUUCUUUCUCGUCAAUACUCAGCAGCAUUGUCGAUAUCUGUUUGUCAUUCUUCUGAAUUGACUGGAGCUGGUACUCUAGUGAGCAACCGGUUCCUUCCAGCCUCAGAUGCACAGUCCUUACUGCACAGCAUUCAAAUGUGGAUUUGAAAUGUGAAUGUCAACCAUACAAAUGUAGCUUUGAAGCAGCACUGCUUUCUUUCUUACAGCACUCUGACUCUCAGACUUUGCAGAAGUUGCAUUGUACGACCCUUUGUAUUAUCAACUGCAUUUUGAGACUAUAGCCCUGGGAUGUGACUAUAGCCCUGGGAUGA
Molecule: long non-coding RNA, 4560 nt
Organism: Gadus chalcogrammus (walleye pollock)
Lineage: Eukaryota; Metazoa; Chordata; Actinopteri; Gadiformes; Gadidae
Exons: 3
Source: RefSeq, a predicted model, not a curated record